Molecule: long non-coding RNA, 483 nt
Organism: Lonchura striata (white-rumped munia)
Lineage: Eukaryota; Metazoa; Chordata; Aves; Passeriformes; Estrildidae
Source: RefSeq, a predicted model, not a curated record
CUCAGGCAAAGAAUAGGGACCUUUUCAACUGCACUAAUUCAAUCCUUUGCCGUCACUAAAUACUGAUGCAGUUUGUGCGUGCAGAGUCCCCUGAAAGCCUCACAAUGGAAAGUACUCUAAGGGAAAAGUAAUUUUACCUGAAAAAAAUCCCUGGUCUUUCUCAGCAGUCCAUUCUAAACCAUAUUAUGUUUAGUGACUGUCUCACAAUGGACCAUUUCUACCAGCAGGAAUACUGGGAAGUGCAUCAAUGCCACCACCUGUGCUGGUCUACCUGCAGAUCUCUACAAAACCUGUUGCCCAAGUAGCUAAACAUCCUUUUCCUCACACAGUACAUGGUGAAAACACAAGAGUCAUCCAUCUUUCCUCUUCAUACCACAAAGCUCCUUGUUUCACUCGGGACUUACAAGCACCGAAAUACAAAAAUCACAGCUCCAGAGUGAUCUUUGUGUCAUGUGUUACAAUAAAGCAAGAUUCUGUUUCUGA